This 464-nucleotide ribosomal RNA is filed under the name uncultured Planctomyces sp. RNAcentral's name for it is "bacterial SSU rRNA". It matches the Rfam family "Bacterial small subunit ribosomal RNA", at positions 338 to 797 of the family's 1533-position model. The record is from RNAcentral. Lineage: Bacteria; Pseudomonadati; Planctomycetota; Planctomycetia; Planctomycetales; Planctomycetaceae.
CCUACGGGUGGCUGCAGUCGAGAAUCUUCGGCAAUGGGGGAAACCCUGACCGAGCGACGCCGCGUGUGGGAUGAAGGCCCUUGGGUUGUAAACCACUGUCAGAGGGGAUGAAGUGCCAGAAAGCUAUCUUUCUGGUUUGACAUAGCCUCAGAGGAAGCACGGGCUAAGUUCGUGCCAGCAGCCGCGGUAAGACGAACUGUGCAAACGUUAUUCGGAAUCACUGGGCUUGAAGAGUGCGUAGGCGGUUUCGUAAGUAGGGUGUGAAAGCCCCCGGCCCAACCGGGGAACUGCGCCCUAAACUGCGAGGCUGGAGUGAGGUAGGGGUGUGUGGAACUUCCAGUGGAGCGGUGAAAUGUGUUGAUAUUGGAAGGAACGCCGGUGGCGAAAGCGACACACUGGACCUUGUCUGACGCUGAGGCACGAAAGCCAGGGGAGCAAACGGGAUUAGAUACCCCGGUAGUCCA